RNAcentral lists this ribosomal RNA (437 nucleotides) under uncultured bacterium. Its description in RNAcentral is "bacterial SSU rRNA". It matches the Rfam family "Bacterial small subunit ribosomal RNA", at positions 29 to 511 of the family's 1533-position model. The record is from RNAcentral.
AACGAACGCUGGCGGCAGGCCUAACACAUGCAAGUCGAGCGAAGUCUUCGGACUUAGCGGCGGACGGGUGAGUAACGCGUGGGAACGUGCCCUUUGGUUCGGAAUAGCCCCGGGAAACUGGGAGUAAUACCGGAUGAGCUCUACGGAGGAAAGAUUUAUCGCCAAAGGAUCGGCCCGCGUUGGAUUAGGUAGUUGGUGGGGUAAUGGCCUACCAAGCCGACGAUCCAUAGCUGGUUUGAGAGGAUGAUCAGCCACACUGGGACUGAGACACGGCCCAGACUCCUACGGGAGGCAGCAGUGGGGAAUCUUAGACAAUGGGGGAAACCCUGAUCUAGCCAUGCCGCGUGAUCGAUGAAGGCCUUAGGGUUGUAAAGAUCUUUCAGGUGGGAAGAUAAUGACUGUACCACCAGAAGAAGCCCCGGCUAACUCCGUGCUAG